Chelmon rostratus (copperband butterflyfish) is the source of this 1671-nucleotide long non-coding RNA. RefSeq lists it as uncharacterized. The record is from RefSeq and is a predicted model, not a curated record. NCBI's taxonomy places the organism in Eukaryota, Metazoa, Chordata, Actinopteri, Chaetodontiformes, Chaetodontidae. The transcript has 4 exons.
GAGCGCGCGCCCCUCGGUGGGCGGAGUCUGAUGAAGAGUUCGUGCAGUGAACAGGUACGAAGAGGGUCGCCAUUAACACCGUGUCAGUACCGGACGGUCCAGCUGGAGGGUGAUGGACCUGUCAAAGCGAGUUUCUCUGUGGUCGGUGGAAGAAGUGUUGGAGUGGGUGGAGGAUCAGUACCCAGCCCACAUGAGCACGCUCCAUAAAGCCAUAAUGAAACACGCCAUAUCAGGCCGUGCAUUGCUGAGAUUAAAGGAUCAUCACCUGGAGCUCCUCGGGGUGGAGACUGAGGAGCAGCAGCAGGAAAUCUUACAGGACCUCCUCCUCCUCAAAGUGCAAGAAGAAAUCAGUGAGCUGAGUGACAUCUGCUCCGAGUGUUUUUCUCAAUAACAGGAAAUAAACAUCCUCGGAAGAAAAGAGGCGCAUCUCUCUUCUUUUCCCAUCACUCGUUCGGUCAUGUGAAGGCGGGAGAAAAGUGCGAGUGAUGGAAAUAAGAAGCUGAAGAGAAAGAAGAAUCAAUGAAGACUGAAGAUAGAGAGAAAUCUCCUGUGUGAACGUUGCUCCAGACUCAAAGACUCAGCAGCGAUCCACUGAUUAGCAGGAAAGUUGUUACUGUUACCUUUUCUUCUAGAACCAUUGAGUCAAAAUGUAAACGGUCCAAUACUUUGUUUAUGAGCAGACACCUGUAAGACAAUGACAGCCUCGGCUAGGAUUAGCAUUAGCAAACAGCAGCAUGCUAACAUGUUAAAAUAAGACGUUGAACAUGGUAAACAGUGGGGGACCGCCCCAACCCCAACCUGAACCACUAACCCCACGGCUCAUUACUCCAAAACCCAGAUAGUUCGAAAAAUGUCCGAGAACGCUCGCACGCUGUUUAUAGUUAGUGUUGCAAAAAAAAGUCAGAGGCAGGUCGGGGGUGUGUCGUCACAGAUUAAAAAAUAACAGGAAGUUGGACUAAUGGGCCUUCUGAACACUCACAUGACACCUGAUAUUAAUACUCGCUGAACAUCAACUUGUUGACACCAUGCUAGCAUUAGCUUUUAGCUAAUCAUCCACCAGUAUUUCUUCGAGUUUCAUUGCAAACAAACAACUUUGUUAACACUUUUUCACCACAGUAGCACUUGGUUGAUAAAUCUGAAAAUAUCAGGUCAGUAAGUGUAAUUGGAUGACAUCUACAAAUAAAACACAGUCAGACCUAAAUCAGAAGCAUCUGUUCGAUCACUGAUCGAGUAAUCUGACUGCAGGCUUGUAACAUUCAUGGAAAUGACAGGAAGAUGCUGACAGAGAGAAAUCCUCCAGUCAGAGAGUUUCCAUGUAAACAUUUCCAUGAAAUCUGAAUCCAAAGAGUGACGCCCCCUGCUGUUUGCUCUGUCUGAAAUGUCUUCUCAUGUUGUGUUAGUUGUUUUUCUGAAGUGAAUGUUAAAGAAAAGCCUCUCAGCUCUUCAGGAUCUGAUGCUGGUUUGUGAUGUGACUGAGCCUGAUCUGUAUUAACUAGAACAUGUGAGUGUCUUUAAUGUAAGAGGUCCUCAGACUUUCAGACUUCUGAUGCCCUGUUUCCUCAUUGUAAUGUGUUUUAUGGGCUGCUGCUCGUGUGUAUAACGUAAAAGGUCAAACAUCUGUGUGUGAACGUUUAUGUUUGGUUGGUUGGAUUAAAACUGCUGCUUUGCUGA